GUGCUUACAGGCAUAGGAUUAUCAUGUUGUCUUAGGGCCAUAGAAUUCUUUUUAAGUGCGAGCUUAGCCUUUUGCCUAGACCCCCAUAUUGCAGUAACAUUUAUAUUUCUCCACUUAUCCUUGAGAUCCACAUUUGAGCGUUGAUGCAAAAUUGAGCUGAACUCAGGAUCUGUGAGUAUUGUGCGCCAUUUUCCCGCUCCAUGCUUGAUCACUCCUGCUUUAAGGGCAGCUUCU
RNAcentral lists this unclassified non-coding RNA (234 nucleotides) under Hevea brasiliensis (rubber tree). Lineage: Eukaryota; Viridiplantae; Streptophyta; Magnoliopsida; Malpighiales; Euphorbiaceae. The record is from RNAcentral.